AGGUAACUCGAUGCUGUAAAUAUGAUAAUGUUGGAUUCAAUAGCUCAGGCAGGCAACUGAUCAAGCUACAUCCUCACAGUGAACGGAUCAGGGAUCACGGCUUU
RNAcentral lists this non-coding RNA (104 nucleotides) under Thalassiothrix antarctica. Lineage: Eukaryota; Bacillariophyta; Fragilariophyceae; Thalassionematales; Thalassionemataceae. The record is from RNAcentral.